This 6709-nucleotide small RNA is filed under the name Pongo abelii (Sumatran orangutan). RNAcentral describes it as "retained intron". Lineage: Eukaryota; Metazoa; Chordata; Mammalia; Primates; Hominidae. The record is from RNAcentral.
GGGCUUCCUGGGCGGAAAGGGGACCCUGGACCAUCGGGCCCCCCUGGACCUCGUGGACCAUUGGGGGACCCAGGACCCCGUGGCCCCCCAGGACUUCCUGGAACAGCCGUGAAGGGUGACAAAGGCGAUCGUGGGGAGCGGGGUCCCCCUGGACCAGGUGAAGGUGGCAUUGCUCCUGGGGAGCCCGGGCUGCCGGGUCUUCCUGGAAGCCCUGGACCCCAAGGCCCCGUUGGCCCCCCUGGAAAGAAAGGAGAAAAAGGUGACUCUGAGGAUGGAGCUCCAGGCCUCCCAGGACAACCUGGGUCUCCGGGUGAGCAGGGCCCACGGGGACCUCCUGGAGCUAUUGGCCCCAAAGGUGACCGGGGCUUUUCAGGGCCCCUGGGUGAGGCUGGAGAGAAGGUAAGUGCAACCUGGGGGGCUCCAAGGGCCCUGGAGGAUCUGGGCCCAACUCAGCUCUGACCUCUUCUGUUCCAUCAGGGUGAACGUGGACCCCCAGGCCCAGCGGGAUCCCGGGGGCUGCCAGGGGUUGCUGGACGUCCUGGAGCUGAGGGUCCUGAAGGGCCACCAGGACCCACUGGCCGCCAAGGAGAGAAGGGGGAGCCUGGUCGCCCUGGGGACCCUGCAGUGGUGGGACCUGCUGUUGCUGGACCCAAAGGAGAAAAGGGAGAUGUGGGGCCCGCUGGGCCCAGAGGAGCUACCGGAGUCCAAGGGGAACGGGUAAGUGAAGCGAAGUGUUUAGGGGAUGGUUGGUGAAGGUUGUCUUCCUGACUUCUUAUCCUUCCAUCCACAGGGCCCACCCGGCUUGGUUCUUCCUGGAGACCCUGGCCCCAAGGGAGACCCUGGAGACCGGGGUCCCAUUGGCCUUACUGGCAGAGCAGGACCCCCAGGUGACUCAGGGCCUCCUGGAGAGAAGGGAGACCCUGGGCGGCCUGGCCCCCCAGGACCUGUUGGCCCCCGAGGACGAGAUGGUGAAGUUGGAGAGAAAGGUGACGAGGGUCCUCCGGGUGACCCGGGUUUGCCUGGAAAAGCAGGCGAGCGUGGCCUUCGGGGGGCACCUGGAGUUCGGGGGCCUGUGGGUGAAAAGGGAGACCAGGGAGAUCCUGGAGAGGAUGGACGAAAUGGCAUCCCUGGACCAUCUGGACCCAAGGGUGACCGUGGGGAGCCGGGUCCCCCAGGACCCCCGGGACGGCUGGUAGACACAGGACCUGGAGCCAGAGAGAAGGGAGAGCCUGGAGACCGCGGACAAGAGGGUCCCCGAGGGCCCAAGGGUGACCCUGGCCUGCCUGGAGCCCCUGGGGAAAGGGUGAGUGUGAUUGGUCCUGGGGGGUGCAGGCGUGGGAGGGCCUGCUCUGAUUUCUUCCUCCCCUAUCCUCAGGGCAUUGAUGGGCUUCGGGGGCCCCCAGGCCCACAGGUGAGUGAUGCACUUUGCCCCGUCUGUCAAGUCCCCAUCUUACCCCCACCUCUUACCUGACCCUGUUCCCUCCAGGGGGACCCAGGUGUCCGAGGCCCAGCAGGAGAAAAGGGUGACCGGGGUCCCCCGGGGCUGGAUGGCCGGAGCGGACUGGAUGGGAAACCAGGAGCCCCCGGGCCCUCUGGGCCGAAUGGUGCUGCAGGCAAAGCUGGGGACCCAGGGAGAGACGGGCUUCCAGGCCUCCGUGGAGAACAGGGCCCCCCUGGCCCUUCUGGUCCCCCUGGAUUACUGGGAAAGCCAGGCGAGGAUGGCAAACCUGGCCUGAAUGGAAAAAACGGAGAACCUGGGGACCCUGGAGAAGACGGGAGGAAGGUAAAGUCCCCCACCUGGGGUCUCUCUGGUCUCUGCUUGGAGCCAUGCCUGAAGCAUCCUUGUCUUCCUUAGGGAGAGAAAGGAGAUUCAGGUGCCCCUGGGAGAGAAGGUCGUGAUGGCCCCAAGGGUGAGCGUGGAGCUCCUGGCAUCCUUGGACCCCAGGGGCCUCCAGGCCUCCCAGGGCCAGUGGGCCCUCCUGGCCAGGGUUUUCCUGGUGUCCCAGGAGGCACAGGCCCCAAGGGUGACCGUGGGGAGACUGGAUACAAAGGGGAGCAGGGCCUCCCUGGAGAGCGUGGCCUGCGAGGAGAGCCUGGAAGCAUGCCGAAUGUGGAUCGGUUGCUGGAAACUGCUGGCAUCAAGGCGUCUGCCCUGCGGGAGAUCGUGGAGACCUGGGAUGAGAGCUCUGGUAGCUUCCUGCCUGUGCCUGAACGGCGUCGAGGCCCCAAGGGGGACUCGGGUGAACGGGGCCCCCCAGGCAAGGAGGGCCCCAUCGGCUUUCCUGGAGAACGUGGGCUGAAGGGCGACCGUGGAGACCCUGGCCCUCAGGGGCCACCUGGCCUGGCCCUUGGGGAGAGGGGCCCCCCUGGACCUCCCGGCCUUGCCGGGGAGCCUGGAAAGCCUGGUAUUCCCGGGCUCCCAGGCAGGGCUGGGGGUGUGGGAGAGGCAGGAAGGCCAGGAGAGAGGGGAGAACGGGGAGAGAAAGGAGAACGUGGAGAACAGGUGGGCUGCGAUGGGCUCCGUGGGGCAGGCUGUCUGGAGGCUGUGCUGGGGCUGCCACCCCAUUUUCUUGUUUCCCGCAGGGCAGAGAUGGCCCUCCUGGCCUCCCUGGAACCCCUGGGCCCCCUGGACCCCCUGGCCCCAAGGUGUCUGUGGAUGAGCCAGGUCCUGGACUCUCUGGAGAACAGGGACCCCCUGGACUCAAGGGUGCUAAGGUCAGUGUGUGGGAUCAGCUCGGGGCCACCCUCUGUCAUGGCACUAGGGACUGACUUGACAUCUCAUCCCCACAGGGGGAGCCGGGCAGCGAUGGUGACCGAGGUCCCAAAGGAGACAGGGGUGUGCCAGGCAUCAAAGGAGACCGGGGAGAUCCUGGACCGAGGGGUCAGGAUGGCAACCCGGGUCUACCAGGAGAGCGUGGUGUGGCUGGGCCUGAAGGCAAGCCGGGUCUGCAGGGUCCAAGAGGCCCCCCUGGCCCAGUGGGUGGUCAUGGAGAUCCUGGACCACCUGGUGCCCCGGGUCUUGCUGGCCCUGCAGGACCCCAGGGACCUUCUGGCCUGAAGGGGGAGCCUGGAGAGACAGGACCUCCAGGACGGGUGAGUGGCCUAGCUCACAGGUUAGGGUCAUAGGGAGAUAGGUGGGGUUGGCACUGCCCUGAACUUUCUCUUCCUCCAGGGCCUGCCUGGACCUACUGGAGCUGUGGGACUUCCUGGUCCCCCCGGCCCUUCAGGCCUUGUGGGUCCACAGGGGUCUCCAGGUUUGCCUGGACAAGUGGUGAGUUCUGGGGGUCAAGGGUUGGGCUCCAGGGGUCAAGGGUCGACAGGCAGCCUGACAGAGCUCUUCUCUCUCAGGGGGAGACAGGGAAGCCAGGAGCCCCAGGUCGAGAUGGUGCCAGUGGAAAAGAUGGAGACAGAGGGAGCCCUGGUGUGCCAGGGUCACCAGGUCUGCCCGGCCCUGUAGGACCUAAAGGAGAACCUGGCCCCACGGGGGCCCCUGGACAGGCUGUGGUCGGGCUCCCUGGAGCAAAGGGAGAGAAGGGAGCCCCUGGAGGCCUUGCUGGAGACCUGGUGGGUGAGCCGGGAGCCAAAGGUGACCGAGGACUGCCAGGGCUGCGAGGCGAGAAGGGUGAAGCUGGACGUGCAGGGGAGCCCGGAGACCCUGGGGAAGAUGUGAGUCUGGGGCCUAGGCAAGGGUGAGCCUGGCCUGAGGAGUGUGAUGACGGGCAUAAGGGACCACUCUUGGGCCUGGGCACAUGUCUGAGCCCCUGAGUCAGGCUGCAUGUCCCAACAUCCAGGAGCCUGCUCUCUGGAUCACGGGGAGCCACACGCUGUCGGCUUCCACACUCUGAGCUCUGGGGGCCCUGUCUUGGCUUCUGUGUGCCCAUCCUUGGUCUGUUCCUCACCACAUCUGAGCACACGUGUGCUCCGGUCUGAUCUCCCAGCUCCCAGGACACACCUGAGUUCUUCUGAAGCUCUCCUUGGUCCUGUGUUUACAAUCCUCCUUUCCCCUGCCCCUGGCUGCCAGCGUUCAGCCUGUGGCCACGCCUGCUCUACCCGGGAGUGGACGUGUUGGGGUUCCCCUCUGAGCGCCCAUGUGUCUGCACUUACGUCUGUGGAGUCAGAUGUCUGCACUCGUGUGUGGGCUUCAUGUGCCUGUGCCAUGCCUGAACUCCCACCUGUCUAUGGUCGUAUCUGAGCGUCCCUCUGUCUGUGCUGUCCUGAGAUAGGCCACGGUCACGUCUGAGCUCCUGUGAGCCAAUUCUUGGUCGCAUGUGUGAGUUCCCAUGUGUUCAUGGUCACAUCAGAGCUCCCCUGGGAAUAUUUUCGGCCCGUGUCUGAACUCUGUGCUCAUGUUCCUACCCUCUCAAAUGCUGUUUGCUGGGUUUUCUUAGGGUCAGAAAGGGGCUCCAGGACCCAAAGGUUUCAAGGGUGACCCAGGAGUCGGGGUCCCGGGCUCCCCUGGGCCUCCUGGCCCUCCAGGUGUGAAGGGAGAUCUGGGCGUCCCUGGCCCCCCCGGUGCUCCUGGUGUUGUUGGGUUCCAGGGUCAGACAGGCCCUCGAGGAGAGAUGGGUCAGCCAGGCCCUAGUGGAGAGCGGGGUCUGGCAGGCCCCCCAGGGAGAGAAGGAGUCCCAGGCCCCUUGGGGCCACCUGGACCACCGGGGUCAGUGGGACCACCUGGGGCCUCUGGACUCAAAGGAGACAAGGGAGACCCUGGAGCAGGGCUGCCCGGGCCCCGAGGCGAGCGUGGGGAGCCAGGCGUCCGGGGUGAAGAUGGCCGCCCCGGCCAGGAGGGACCCCGAGGACUCACGGGGCCCCCUGGCAGCAGGGGAGAGCGUGGGGAGAAGGGUGACGUUGGGACUGCAGGACUAAAGGGUGACAAGGUGAGUGUGGGCGUGGGGAGGGCAGGGCAGGGGCCAGGGUGCUCCCGACUCCUCUGACUCCUCCAUGCCCCCUCAGGGAGACUCGGCCGUGAUCCUGGGGCCUCCAGGGCCACGGGGUGCCAAGGGGGACAUGGGUGAACGAGGGCCUCGGGGCUUGGAUGGUGACAAAGGACCUCGGGGAGACAAUGGGGACCCUGGUGACAAGGGCAGCAAGGGAGAGCCUGGUGACAAGGGCUCAGCCGGGUCGCCAGGACUGCGUGGACUCCCGGGACCCCAGGGUCAACCUGGUGCAGCAGGGAUCCCUGGUGACCCGGGAUCCCCAGGAAAGGAUGGAGUGUCUGGUAUCCGAGGAGAAAAAGGAGAUGUUGGCUUCAUGGGUCCCCGGGGCCUCAAGGGUGAACGGGGAGUGAAGGGAGCCUGUGGCCUUGAUGGAGAGAAGGGAGACAAGGUACAGAGGGGAUGGGGGCUGGGGGGCUAUGUGGCCUGGGGCCUAAGGCUCACCCCACUGCCUGAUGCCUGCAGGGAGAAGCUGGUCCCCCAGGCCGCCCCGGGCUGGCAGGACAUAAAGGAGAGAUGGUGAGUGUGGGCACACUCAGAAUGAGGGGGCCACGGGUGGACGGGGGCCAAGUUCAUGUCUUUUUUUCUCCAGGGGGAGCCUGGUGUGCCGGGCCAGUUGGGGGCCCCUGGCAAGGAGGGCCUGAUCGGUCCCAAGGGUGACCGAGGCUUUGAUGGGCAGCCAGGCGCCAAGGGUGACCAGGGCGAGAAAGGGGAGCGGGGAACCCCAGGAAUUGGGGGCUUCCCAGGCCCCAGUGGAAAUGAUGGCUCCGCUGGUCCCCCGGGGCCACCUGGCAAUGUUGGUCCCAGAGGCCCUGAAGGACUUCAGGGCCAGAAGGGUGAGCGAGGUCCCCCUGGAGAGAGAGUGGUGGGGGCUCCUGGGGCCCCUGGAGCUCCUGGAGAGAGAGGGGAGCAGGGGCGGCCAGGGCCUGCCGGCCCUCGAGGCGAGAAGGGAGAAGCUGCACUGACGGAGGAUGACAUCCGGGGCUUUGUGCGCCAAGAGAUGAGUCAGCACUGCGCUUGCCAGGGUCAGUUCAUCGCAUCUGGAUCACGACCCCUCCCUAGUUAUGCUGCAGACACUGCCCGCUCCCAGCUCCAUGCUGUGCCUGUGCUCCGCGUCUCUCACGCAGAGGAGGAAGAGCGGGUGCCCCCUGAGGAUGAUGAGUACUCUGAAUACUCCGAGUAUUCCGUGGAGGAGUACCAGGACCCUGAAACCCCUUGGGAUAGUGAUGACCCCUGUUCCCUGCCGCUGGAUGAGGGCUCCUGCACUGCCUACACCCUGCGCUGGUACCAUCGGGCUGUGACAGGUGGCACAGAGGCCUGUCACCCUUUUGUCUAUGGCGGCUGUGGAGGGAAUGCCAACCGUUUUGGGACCCGUGAGGCCUGCGAACGCCGCUGCCCACCCCGGGUGGCCCAGAGCCAGGGGACAGGUACUGCCCAGGACUGAGGCCCAGAUGAUGAGCCGAGAUUCAGCGUCCCCUGGAGGAGUCGCGGUCUCAGCAGAACCCCACUGUCCCUCCCCUUGGUGCUAGAGGCUUGUGUGCACGUGAGCGUGCGUGUGCACAUCCAUUAUUUCAGUGACUUGGUCCCGUGGGUCUAGCCUUCCCCCCAGGGACAAACCCCCAUUGUGGCUUCUGCCACCCUGGCAGAUGACUCACUGUGGGGGGUGGCUGUGGGCAGUGAGCGGAUGUGACUGGCGUCUGACCCGCCCCUUGACCCAAGCCUGUGAUGACAUGGUGCUGAUUCUGGGGGGCAUUAAAGCUGCUGUUUUAAAAGGC